This 65-nucleotide ribosomal RNA is filed under the name Pseudomonas tremae. The record is from RNAcentral. Lineage: Bacteria; Pseudomonadati; Pseudomonadota; Gammaproteobacteria; Pseudomonadales; Pseudomonadaceae.
CUUGACGACCAUAGAGCAUUGGAACCACCUGAUCCCAUCCCGAACUCAGUAGUGAAACGAUGUAU